UACGGAGGGUGCAAGCGUUAUCCGGAUUUACUGGGUUUAAAGGGUGUGUAGGCGGGCUUUUAAGUCAGUGGUGAAAUCUCCGGGCUCAACCUGGAAACUGCCAUUGAUACUAUUAGUCUUGAAUUUUGUUGAGGUAGGCGGAAUAAGUCAUGUAGCGGUGAAAUGCAUAGAUAUGAUUUAGAACACCAAUUGCGAAGGCAGCUUGCUAAACAAAUAUUGACGCUGAGGCACGAAAGCGUGGGGAGCGAACAGG
This 253-nucleotide ribosomal RNA is filed under the name uncultured bacterium. RNAcentral's name for it is "partial 16S ribosomal RNA". It matches the Rfam family "Bacterial small subunit ribosomal RNA", at positions 524 to 776 of the family's 1533-position model. The record is from RNAcentral.